RNAcentral lists this long non-coding RNA (559 nucleotides) under Chrysolophus pictus (golden pheasant). Its description in RNAcentral is "lncRNA (ENSCPIG00010010479.1)". The record is from RNAcentral. Lineage: Eukaryota; Metazoa; Chordata; Aves; Galliformes; Phasianidae.
GUUUGGGUGAAGUUGGCAAGGGGGUCCUGAAGCUUCCAGAGGGCUGGAGAGAUGGAUGACAGGAAAGAACUGGCAAUCAGAUAAAAACAGAAACAUGGCACAGGAGAGGGAAGGAGAGAUGAGAUGUGCAAAAAAGGGUCUUGGUAGAGGCACAGGAGAAGACCCAGCGUGGUUCAGGAGAGGACACGCACAGCUCACUGGGAAGGGCUCAUGGUGAUCAUCUUUGUAUGAGUCAGUGCUGAAGCAGUGAAGUGUCAGAUUUUAUCCAAAGAAGGAGCUGCACGUCGGCGCAGGGUGAAGCAUUUCUUGGAUAUACGUGAGUAUCUCGAUAGCCAUGUUCAGACAUCCACGGCUGGCCAGGCUGUUUCUGCCUGACCUGAGGCCACGUGGAGCUAUAUGGUGAUCACUUCCAUUUCCAAAGUGUCACCAUUCUUAUGAGCAAAAAAUUUCCCUUUUGGUGCAAACCCCAAAGGAGCAGAACGCAGCAAGUUCUGAUCACUAAAGAGAGGGAGCAGUCCGUUGCAUUUGCAAAUAAUAAAGUCCCAACUGCUGAAUCUCA